This 1334-nucleotide long non-coding RNA is filed under the name Salmo salar (Atlantic salmon). RNAcentral describes it as "lncRNA (ENSSSAG00000118705.1)". Lineage: Eukaryota; Metazoa; Chordata; Actinopteri; Salmoniformes; Salmonidae. The record is from RNAcentral.
CUGGGAUUCUCUGCCUCUAACCCUUUUACGGGGGCUGAGUCACUGGCUUACUGGUGUUCUUCCAUGCCGUCCAUGGGAGGGGUGCGUCACUUAAGUGGGUUGAGUCACUGACGUGGUCUUCCUGUCUGGGUUGGCGCCCCCCCCCCUUGGGUUGUGCCGUGGCGGAGAUCUUUGUGGGCUAUACUCGGCCUUGUCUUAGGACGAACUGAAAGACGACCACCACCUGGUGGUAGAGCGCGUCUAUUUUCCAGACGAACAGGAAGCUGCCAUUACGCAAAUGGUAGUUGAAAAAUAAUACCAUAUAAGACUGUAGGAAAUCCAACAACAGACGAUUGAAAAAAAAAAACCCUGCCAUCUUCCAUAACAUCAGAGUGAGUUUAUCAACCACAGCCCCCAUCCUUCAGAAACACCAUCUCCGUAUGAAGCAAAUCUACAGAGUCCCGUUUGAAAGGAAUUCCCAACGAGUGAAGGAUAAACGAGGAUCAUGGAGUUGGAUGUCCGUCCCAUCGCCCCAGGGACUGAUGUUCAGAAAUGAGGCUGGAUUCAAUUUAGGCGAAGACGAGGAGGAGAGGAAGGAACAUCAUUGGUCAACGCGCCAUCAUUGAGGUACCUUGCCAGUUCGGGGGAAAUAUCACCAUAUAAUCCACAAUGUGGUCCUCCACCGCCAUGCUACACUUGGACCAUACAACACUGCCCAUCUCCUUCAUUUCCUGAACACCUUCCCGAGACAAUCUUUUUUAGCCAGGGCAGAGAGCGCCAGGUGAGGCUGAGCAGAGAGGGCCAGGUGACCCUGAGCAGAGAGGGCCAGGUAAACCUGAGCAGCAAAUGUAUAUUCUAAUUUGGGACCAUUGCGUUUCCAUCGUGCUGCUCAGGUCAGCAACUGGUUCCAUGACCAUCCCAGGUUUACAAUUCUCUAUCUCCCACCAUAUUCCCUAUUUCUCAACACCACUGAGGAGUUGUUUUCAGCGUGGUGGAGGAAGGUGUAUGAUCGCAAACCCCAUGAAUGUAUGGCUGUUCUCCAGGCAAUGGAGGAGGCCUGGGGUGACAUUCCAGCAGAGUCCUGUCAGGGGUGGAUGAGUUAUGCCAGAAGAUAUUAUGCCAGAAGAUAUUUCUCCCCUGCUCUCUGGCCAAGGAGGAUAUCGCCCGUGAUGUUGAUGAAAAUCUGUGGCCAGAACAAAACAGACAUGACUGAUUUUGUUUUUCGCAAUGGAGUAUUUGUUUCUUGACUUAUGAUUUUUACUGUAUUUUUGCUGUUUCUUUAUCUAUUCUGUACAAUUGGUCUAACAUACAAUACAGUAGUACAAAUAGGUCUAUUUUUCAUCCUUUAUAUAUGC